UGAAGAUUUUUGUGGCAUUGGCAAUAGUUUGCCUGCUUCUUACCGAGAUACAACAGAGUAAUGCGGCGGACAGGCAACCUCCUGGUGGAAAUGGGCGCCUUUCUCCACCACACAGCCCACGACAGCGAAGAGAAAACCCAAGAAACGGGGACAGAGGCGGUGCUCAAGGAGGAGGACCAGGAGGAGUUAGACUAAGAGAAGGUGGUCCACGAGGGAGAAGAGACGAUGGACGAAGACAUGGGAUUGUUGUUACAAAUAAUGAUAAAAAUCAGGGAUAGCUGUCUUCAAUAUUAUUCUGACAUCUGCUGUAUAGCGACUGCUUUUUGAAUUAUUAUUCCACACAAAAUAUAA
This 351-nucleotide long non-coding RNA is filed under the name Dermacentor andersoni. RNAcentral describes it as "uncharacterized LOC126530253". Lineage: Eukaryota; Metazoa; Arthropoda; Arachnida; Ixodida; Ixodidae. The record is from RNAcentral.